This 337-nucleotide RNase P RNA is filed under the name Clostridiaceae bacterium. RNAcentral describes it as "RNase P RNA component class A". It matches the Rfam family "Bacterial RNase P class A". From Rfam's summary of the family: Ribonuclease P (RNase P) is a ubiquitous endoribonuclease, found in archaea, bacteria and eukarya as well as chloroplasts and mitochondria. Its best characterised activity is the generation of mature 5'-ends of tRNAs by cleaving the 5'-leader elements of precursor-tRNAs. The record is from RNAcentral. Lineage: Bacteria; Bacillati; Bacillota; Clostridia; Eubacteriales; Clostridiaceae.
CGAGUAUACUGGACAGUCGCCGCACCGAAGCGAAAGUAAAGUGCGGAGGAAAGUCCGGGCUCCCAGGAUCAGGGCGCCGGGUAACUCCCGGUAAAGGUGACUUUAAGGAAAGUGCAACAGAAAGGAUACCGCCUAAAAAGGCAAGGGUGAAAGGGUGAGGUAAGAGCUCACCGGCAGUCUGGUAACUGACUGGCUUUGUAAACCCCGUCUGGAGCAACACCGUGGUGGGAUAAUGGAGAUCCGCAGUCCCAAGGAGGUGGCUCGAGCCUGUUGGAGACAAUGGGCCAAGAUAGAUGACUGUUCUCGACAGAACCCGGCUUAUAGGUAUACUCGAAAG